UUAAAGUGAUGAUACCACAAAGGUUUCGCAUUUGUCUGAAGAUAGAAAUCACAAUGAUGAUAAACCUUGGCUGUCUGAAUAA
This is a small nucleolar RNA of Calliphora vicina (urban bluebottle blowfly), 82 nucleotides long. RefSeq annotates it as small nucleolar RNA SNORD53/SNORD92. The transcript has a single exon. The record is from RefSeq and is a predicted model, not a curated record. Lineage: Eukaryota; Metazoa; Arthropoda; Insecta; Diptera; Calliphoridae.